This 615-nucleotide long non-coding RNA is filed under the name Rattus norvegicus (Norway rat). RNAcentral's name for it is "long non-coding RNA NONRATT027210". The record is from RNAcentral. Lineage: Eukaryota; Metazoa; Chordata; Mammalia; Rodentia; Muridae.
ACAGCUCCUUACAGCUAUGUCGGGCAGAAGCCCCCAGACACCCAGGCUGUUGUGAAUGCAGCCUGUUUUACUCCAAGAGGGUCUGCCUCCCCUGUGUUCAGAAGAAUAUCAGUGCUUUCCCUCAGGAAAUCCAGCAGGAUGUGGAGAAGAGAAAGGGUGCCAGCAAGAAGCACUCCAACCGUCCCUGACUGGCAGGGGCACAGCCUCCUGUGAAGCAUUGGGCUGGGCUAGGCCCGGAUUCCAGCUGGGAGCUGUGUAUCUGGUCUUCUCUGAACUGUGUGGGGUACGUGCAGUCUCAGGAACUGAGGAACUGGCCAAGACUGAGGACAGACAGCAGGAGUGUAGCCAGCUGGAGCUCCAGACCUGGCCGCUAGUGGAGGCCAGGAGUGAGGGAGAGGGGCCUCCAUUUGAUAGCUGGUAGACACUUCCUGUAGAUGUACAUGCAGGCUUCUCUCCAGACAUCCACAUAACACAGUGUCAUCAUCUGUCAUCUAGGGAAAUCAGCCUCUGAGGGACAGAGGGUAUGCAAGGGUUAUGUCACAUCCUCUAUAACCGCCUUGGACAUGAUUUAAACCUUGACUCUGUAUCAUAUUUAUAAUUAAAAACCCGAAGGAU